This 402-nucleotide ribosomal RNA is filed under the name uncultured Pseudomonas sp. RNAcentral's name for it is "bacterial SSU rRNA". It matches the Rfam family "Bacterial small subunit ribosomal RNA", at positions 983 to 1382 of the family's 1533-position model. Lineage: Bacteria; Pseudomonadati; Pseudomonadota; Gammaproteobacteria; Pseudomonadales; Pseudomonadaceae. The record is from RNAcentral.
GACAUGCAGAGAACUUUUCCAGAGAUGGAUUGGUUGCCUUCGGGAACUCUGACACAGGUGCUGCAUGGCUGUCGUCAGCUCAUGUCGUGAGAUGUUGGGUUAAGUCCCGUAACGAGCGCAACCCUUGUCCUUAGUUACCAGCACGUUAUGGUGGGCACUCUAAGGAGACUGCCGGUGACAAACCGGAGGAAGGUGGGGAUGACGUCAAGUCAUCAUGGCCCUUACGGCCUGGGCUACACACGUGCUACAAUGGUCGGUACAAAGGGUUGCCAAGCCGCGAGGUGGAGCUAAUCCCAUAAAACCGAUCGUAGUCCGGACCGCAGUCUGCAACUCGACUGCGUGAAGUCGGAAUCGCUAGUAAUCGUGAAUCAGAAUGUCACGGUGAAUACGUUCCCGGGCCUU